Callithrix jacchus (white-tufted-ear marmoset) is the source of this 249-nucleotide unclassified non-coding RNA. It matches the Rfam family "Metazoan signal recognition particle RNA". From Rfam's summary of the family: The signal recognition particle (SRP) is a universally conserved ribonucleoprotein. It is involved in the co-translational targeting of proteins to membranes. Lineage: Eukaryota; Metazoa; Chordata; Mammalia; Primates; Cebidae. The record is from Ensembl.
GCCCGGCGAGGUGGUGCCUUCCUGUAGUCCCAGCUACUGGGAGACUGAGGCUGGAGUAAUCGCUUGCCGCUUGGGUGUCCGUACUAAGUUCGGCAUCAAUAUGGUGGCCUCUCGGGAGUGGGGGACCACAGGUUGCCUAAGGAGGGGUAAACCAGCCCAGGUCGGAAACUGAGCAGAUCAAAACUCCUAUGCUGAUCAGUAGUGGGAUCACGACUGUGAAUAGCCACUGCGCUCCAGCCUGGGCAACAU